This 77-nucleotide transfer RNA is filed under the name Camelus bactrianus (Bactrian camel). It matches the Rfam family "tRNA". From Rfam's summary of the family: Transfer RNA (tRNA) molecules are approximately 80 nucleotides in length. The record is from Rfam by way of RNAcentral. RNAcentral also lists the same sequence under 2 other names. Lineage: Eukaryota; Metazoa; Chordata; Mammalia; Artiodactyla; Camelidae.
GAGGGUAUAGCUCAGUGGUACAGUGUGUGCUUAAAUUAGCAUGCACAAGGUCCUGGGUUCAAUCCCCAGUACCUCCA